Molecule: ribosomal RNA, 490 nt
Filed under: uncultured bacterium
Lineage: Bacteria
Description: partial 16S ribosomal RNA
Rfam family: Bacterial small subunit ribosomal RNA
Source: RNAcentral
AUUGAACGCUGGCGGCAGGCCUAACACAUGCAAGUCGAACGGUAACAGGAAACAGCUUGCUGUUUCGCUGACGAGUGGCGGACGGGUGAGUAAUGUCUGGGAAACUGCCUGAUGGAGGGGGAUAACUACUGGAAACGGUAGCUAAUACCGCAUAACGUCGCAAGACCAAAGAGGGGGAGCUUCGGGCCUCUUGCCAUCGGAUGUGCCCAGAUGGGAUUAGCUAGUAGGUGGGGUAACGGCUCACCUAGGCGACGAUCCCUAGCUGGUCUGAGAGGAUGACCAGCCACACUGGAACUGAGACACGGUCCAGACUCCUACGGGAGGCAGCAGUGGGGAAUAUUGCACAAUGGGCGCAAGCCUGAUGCAGCCAUGCCGCGUGUAUGAAGAAGGCCUUCGGGUUGUAAAGUACUUUCAGCGGGGAUGAAGGGAGUAAAGUUAAUACCUUUGCUCAUUGACGUUACCCGCAGAAGAAGCACCGGCUAACUCCGUG